CAAUUCUAUUCUUUUUUUUUUUUUUUUAAUGCUGGACAUGAAAACCUCCUAAAACGGUUGUCUGAACCAUGAAUGGAUUGUGUUCUACAUAGCUGAAAAACACCAAUCUAGAAUGGAAUCAAACCUCUACCAUAAAAUCAUCCUCUCUUACUUCAAUUAUUGCCAAAACAAGAACAAACCCAGAAAUUCUAUAUAAGAAGGCAGUAUAAUUUAAUGGAAAGACUAACAGAUUAGAAGAAAACUAAGAAAUUUAAUCAUUCCAUUCUAGCUCUGGUUUUUUCCUUGCGGGGGAAAUAAAAUACUGUAGUGAAACCUACAUAGAAAACAAGACUGAACUGAUAAUUUUCUUCAUUUAAAAAAUCAAUUUAAUACUUGGAAUAUCCCCAUGCAUCAUGAAAAUAUAAUGAUCCCUUUAAAAGUGAUAUGCUUAGAAAGUAGACUAUAUAAGGCUCCUCCGGUGAGUCACAGUUUUUAAAAAAAUUUCCUUUAUAUCCUCAUUCCUUUAUAUCUUUUACAUUUAAACUUUUAUUACUUAAUAAAGUCCCACGUGGGAGAGUUUUUAGUUCCUGUCCACACAUAACUAAAGGAAAGAAAGAUAAAAUCUUCUGUACCAUCUUUAUGCUGCAUUUUGUUCUAUAUUCCAAGUAUUUUUUCCUGGCUUCUUCUCGUCAUCUGUUUCCUGUUAAGUAUAGCUAGGACCAAUCUUCAGAAGCCAAACUGCCUUGUUGAGAGAGAUCAGGAAUAAAAAGCCCCAGAUUUACUGGAAAAGCUAUAAUUUGAUCUUCCUAGAUUUUUUCUUAAUAAAUUACUUACAAUAAUCGGUGUUAAGAAAUAUAACUAGUUACUAUUUGGUACUAAUUGCCUAGUCUGUUUGCUCAAGGAGGAAGGAGGCAAUGUGAAAUGUGAAUUUAUAACUCACAUUUUAAGGUGAAACAUUAGAUAUCUUUGCAACUGUUACAUUUCCAAUAUAAGACCUCUAAAAAAGAAAAGAAAUUCUACCUAAUGGCUGUCUUCAAGUGUUUUUGUGCUGGGGCUUUAGCUAUAUGGAACUUUAUUUCAAGCCAUGGGCAACAAUUAGAAGCCAUUUGGAAUUCUUAUCCUCCUGCAGAGAAUACAUUUGUAGAGUUAGUUCUUGAUUCAGUGUUAGUCCAAAGACUUUAAAUUCCACUAUGGCAAUCAUGGCUUUGGGAUAGAGGGGAAAGCUGGGUAAUAAAACCUACAAUGUGAAUCCAGGUACAAGAUCUCCACCUAUGUAAACUCACUUAUAUCUCUUUAUAAGUUAAACAUGGGUGUAGAUCUGUUUCCUGGUUAUGGGGGAAGUAAAGACGGGGAAUUUCAAAUGAACAAAUGGGUAAAGACAGACCCUAAGUCUUUAUUAACGGGACUGGUGGCAUGGGAUUAUAGAUUAUUCUUAGAUUUUAGGGAAGUUAUAUGAACUCAAUAAUUCCCAGUAACCAGUUUGAUUAUGCAAAAUUUGAAACAAAUAAAAAAGCUGACAUAUAAAGGAGGUCUCAGAGAGGUCAAACACUCGCUUUUCUGAGCUUGGCCCUCUGUGCUCAUUCUUGCAACACACUUGUUUGGGCUGACACGGUUGCUUGCUCUUUUAAAUAUAACUGUUGUCAGUUUUUUUCUUGCCUACUUAAGAAACUUCUCCUUUUACCCAGUCUAGCAACAGUUACUACCAUGGGUAUGUCUACUAUAUACCAGGCCCUGUUCCAAAUGCCUUACGAAUGUGGUAGCUCUUUAAGCCUUACAACAACCUUUGAGGAAGAAAGGAUCUCCCUCCACAUUUUGCAGAAGAUACUGAGGCAUCGAGAUACCGAGUUAACCAUGUAAUGUCAACAAAUUCCAGACCCUGUGGCAGCUUAGAGCAGCUUGUGAGUCCCAGCCCCAUCCCUGUGUUCCUCACCUGCCCUUUUUCCUUGGCAUGGGCACAGGUGUUCCUGCAGUUCUCAUCGGGAGGGGAGGGCAGGGGAGGAGGUGGGCAGGGUCAAGAGAAGCAACCCAAGAUGGAUGAGAAUUUGCUUCACUGCCAGAAGUGUGAAGUCAUUUCUGUUUUGCUGCAUUCUGUUAGCACUGUUCUUACUUCCUUCACUAACACACUCUUUUUCAAACCUUCCAUUUCAGUUUUCCCUCCUUCUUCUUCUUGGUCUCACUAGUACUAGACAGUGGGCAGAAGUGACCUCAUCAGUCUGUGUCCUUUGGGUGUAGUCUUUCAACCACAAAAAAGAUUCAGGGACUCCAAGGAUGGAGAUCCAAAGUCGCAGGAGGGUGACAAAAAGAGGUGGGGUGGAAGGAAGGAGAGGAGGCAAAAAAGUACCGGACUCAGGGAGGAUGUUUUAAGCAAGUAUUGGGUAAAAUGAAAGGCGAGGAGUCAGACACAGACACCCUGGCCUGGAAAAGCUGCCAUUCUCUAAUGAAAAAGCUGUAUCAAAACCGUUUUCAUGUGUAAAGGCAGGGAAAAUCUGAAGAUAUAUUCAAAGUCAGCUCAUAAAAUGACACGUAAGAAGUAAACCUGAUGAAGAGAUGUAAACCAGUUAUCCAUCAUAAGGUAGAUGAAUAAAAAAUACAAGUUCUCCUAUCAAUAAGAGUAAGAAUUAUUGCCUAAAAUGCAUACCCAGCCCUUUAAUGUGAUAUAAAACAUGCUACAAACAGCCACUACUCCUAGCCCCACCCCUGCCACCCCACUAGGACUCCUCAGACACAAUGACUGCUUUAUUUGAGUCACUAGAAGAACAACGUUCACUCAAGCUAGAAUUUUUCAAACAUUCUUGAGAUUUGUUAGGCUGGCUUUGCCCCAGAAAAACUGACUAAGAUACAUUUGAAAUGUUGCAUUAUGUUGGGUGGGCUUCAUCCACAAAUCUGUUAUUAGAAACCCAUAUGCAGUUGGUCGUGUACGUUCAUGGGUUCCGCAUCCUCAGAUUCAACCAACUACAGAUCAAAAACAUUUGAAAAAAAAAUUUAUGGUCGUGUCUGUACUGAACAUGCACAUUUUUUUCUUGUCAUUAUGCACUAAACAAUACCGUGUAACAAUUGUUUACAUAGCAUUUAUAUUGCAUUAGUUAUUAUAAGUAAUCUAGAGAUGAUUUAAAGUACAUGGGCCAGGUGUGGUAGCUCAUACUUGUAAUCCCAACUACUUGGGAGGCGGAGGCAGGAGGAUCAUUUGACUCAGGAGCUCAAGGCUACAUGCCUCUGCACUCUAGCCUGGACAACAGAGUGAGACCCAUCUCUAAACACAUAAAAAUAAAAAAAAAGAGUACAUGGGAAUAUUGCAUAGGUUAUAAUAUAAAUGCUGUACCAUUUUAUAUAAGGGACUUGAGCAUGCAUGGAUAUCAGGGGCGGGGGGGUGGUGUCCUGGGACUAAUUCCCCAAGGAUACUGAGGGACAACAAACUAUGGACCCCAAACCAGGUGCUCUGUGAAUGAAGAGCUUUCCUCUGAGAUGAGGGAAGCAGGGAGAAGAUGGAAACUGGGGAAGGCUUUGUGGGAGAGGUGGCAAAUGAGCAGGAGCUAGAACAGAAUUCAAAUGUGGGUUUGGGGAGGAAAGGAGGAAGACACAGCUCAGAAAGAGAAGUCUACAGCCAUACCCCGCUGAAUGCACCUGAUCCUGGCUGAUCUCAGAAGCUAAGCAGGGUUGGGCCUGGUUAGUACUUGGAUGGGAGAAAGAAAAGGAGAAGGGAGGAGUAGGGCAAGGAGCAUUUCAACUGGCUUAAAGGGUGAAGUGGGCCGGGUGCGGUGGCUCAUGCCUGUAAUCCCAGCACUUUGGGAGGCCGAGGCGGGCGGAUCAGGAGGUCGGGAGAUCAAGACCAUCCUGGCUAACAUGGUGAAACCCCAUCUCUACUAAAAACACAAAAAUUAGCUGGGUGUGGUGGAGCAUGCCUGUAAUCCCAG
RNAcentral lists this long non-coding RNA (3890 nucleotides) under Homo sapiens (human). The record is from RNAcentral. Lineage: Eukaryota; Metazoa; Chordata; Mammalia; Primates; Hominidae.